GACGAACGCUGGCGGCGUGCCUAAUACAUGCAAGUUGAGCGCUGAAGGUUGGUACUUGUACCAACUGGAUGAGCAGCGAACGGGUGAGUAACGCGUGGGGAAUCUGCCUUUGAGCGGGGGACAACAUUUGGAAACGAAUGCUAAUACCGCAUAAAAACUUUAAACACAAGUUUUAAGUUUGAAAGAUGCAAUUGCAUCACUCAAAGAUGAUCCCGCGUUGUAUUAGCUAGUUGGUGAGGUAAAGGCUCACCAAGGCGAUGAUACAUAGCCGACCUGAGAGGGUGAUCGGCCACAUUGGGACUGAGACACGGCCCAAACUCCUACGGGAGGCAGCAGUAGGGAAUCUUCGGCGAUGGACGAAAGUCUGACCGAGCAACGCCGCGUGAGUGAAGAAGGUUGUCGGAUCGUAAAACUCUGUUGGUAGAGAAGAACGUUGGUGAGAGUGGAAAGCUCAUCAAGUGACGGUAACUACCCAGAAAGGGACGGCUAACUACGUG
RNAcentral lists this ribosomal RNA (497 nucleotides) under uncultured bacterium. RNAcentral describes it as "partial 16S ribosomal RNA". It matches the Rfam family "Bacterial small subunit ribosomal RNA", at positions 28 to 507 of the family's 1533-position model. The record is from RNAcentral.